GACGAACGCUGGCGGCGCGCUUAACACAUGCAAGUCGUGCGGUGUCGAAGGCAAGUCUUACGACAAGCCUUCGACACAGCGGCGAACGGGUGAGUAACACGUGAGUAGCUGUCCUAAGGAGGGGGAUAACGCCUGGAAACGGGUGCUAACACCCCAUAUGCCUCGCAAGAGGUGAAAGUGUACUUGCUACAGCCUUAGGGUGUGCUCGCGGCCUAUCAGCUAGUUGGUGAGGUAACGGCUCACCAAGGCCAAGACGGGUAGCCGGCCUGAGAGGGUGUACGGCCACACUGGAAUUGAGAUACGGUCCAGACCCCUACGGGAGGCAGCAGUGGGGAAUCUUGGGCAAUGGGCGAAAGCCUGACCCAGCGACGCCGCGUUGGGGAUGAAGCCCUUCGGGGCGUAAACCCAUGUUGUAGGGGACGAAGAAAGUGACGGUACCCUACGAGAAAGCCCCGGCCAACUACGUG
RNAcentral lists this ribosomal RNA (467 nucleotides) under uncultured bacterium. RNAcentral's name for it is "bacterial SSU rRNA". It matches the Rfam family "Bacterial small subunit ribosomal RNA", at positions 28 to 507 of the family's 1533-position model. The record is from RNAcentral.